RNAcentral lists this ribosomal RNA (414 nucleotides) under Triticum aestivum (bread wheat). RNAcentral describes it as "partial small subunit ribosomal RNA". The record is from RNAcentral. Lineage: Eukaryota; Viridiplantae; Streptophyta; Magnoliopsida; Poales; Poaceae.
AUGGUGGUCAUUCGGCCGCUGCGUAUCGCUGUCUGCGUCACGCUGGCGUUCGCGGCGUACAAGCUCAACAAGGCGCACACGGCGAGGCUGAUGAGGGAGGGCGAGGAGCGGGAGGAGCGAUGGCUGAUAAGGGACGCCAAGGAGCGGAGGGAGCGCUGGCGCCAGCUUCAUCUUGCAGGCGUCCAUCUUCCAGGCGGCGCCAAGGAUGAUAAUAAGGAGAAGAAGAUGGAUCACGAUUGGGGUGACCCCCUCGCCGGAGACGCCGGUCUUAUGGUCAUUGCGGCGGGAGGCAUCUGCUCGCCCUCAUCCGCAAAGGUCUUGCCUUGCUCUCGCUCGGAGAUGAAGAUUCUAUGGCGGUUUUGUCGUCACCACAUGCUCAUCCUCGAUGGACGAUGGUAUGGUUUUCCGCAAUGA